AACGUAGGACGCAAGCGUUAUCCGGAGUUACUGGGCGUAAAGCGCGGGCAGGCGGUCGAUCAAGUCUGAUGUGAAAUCUCCUCGCUCAACGGGGAGCAGCCAUUGGAAACUGGGCGACUGGAGUCUGACAGAGGUAGGCGGAAUUCCGGGUGGAGUGGUGAAAUGCGUAGAGAUCCGGAGGGACACCAGAGGCGAAGGCGGCCUACUGGGUCAGUACUGACGCUGAGCCGCGAAAGCUAGGGGAGCGAACGGG
Molecule: ribosomal RNA, 253 nt
Filed under: uncultured bacterium
Lineage: Bacteria
Description: partial 16S ribosomal RNA
Rfam family: Bacterial small subunit ribosomal RNA
Source: RNAcentral